This 468-nucleotide ribosomal RNA is filed under the name uncultured bacterium. RNAcentral describes it as "partial 16S ribosomal RNA". The stretch from base 52 to 468 matches the Rfam family "Bacterial small subunit ribosomal RNA", at positions 39 to 507 of the family's 1533-position model. The record is from RNAcentral.
GGGGGGGGGGGGGGGGGGGGGGGGGGGGGGCGGGGCGGGGGGGGGGGGGGGGCGGUGGGGGGGUGGUCGGGGGGGGAGGGGGGGAGUACCGGGUGGGUGAGCUGCCCUUGAGUUUGGGGGAACUUGAGGGAACUGGGGCUAAUACCGGGUAGGGGCUCCUGCUGCAUGGUGGGGGUUUGAAAGUUUGGGCGGUGGGGGAUGGACUCGCGGCUUAUCAGCUUGUUGGUGAGGUAGUGGCUUACCAGGUGUUUGACGGGUAGCCGGCCUGAGAGGGUGGCCGGCCACAUGGGGACUGCGAUACGGCCCAGACGCCUACGGGAGGCAGCAGGGAGGAAUAUUGCACAAUGGGCGGAAGCCUGAGGAAGCCACGCCGCGUGCGGGAUGACGGCCUUCGGGUUGUAAACCGCUUUCGCCUGUGACGAAGCGUGAGUGACGGUACUGGGUGAAGAAGCACCGGCUAACUACGUG